This 530-nucleotide ribosomal RNA is filed under the name Entrophospora etunicata. RNAcentral's name for it is "SSU rRNA". It matches the Rfam family "Eukaryotic small subunit ribosomal RNA", at positions 539 to 1068 of the family's 1831-position model. Lineage: Eukaryota; Fungi; Glomeromycota; Glomeromycetes; Entrophosporales; Entrophosporaceae. The record is from RNAcentral.
AUAUUUUUUGGAGGGGCAAGUCUGGUGCCAGCAGCCGCGGUAAUUCCAGCUCCAAUAGCGUAUAUUAAAGUUGUUGCAGUUAAAAAGCUCGUAGUUGAAUUUCGGGAUUGACACAUCGGUCGUGCCUUAAGGGGUAUGAACUGGUGUAGUCAAUUUCUCACCUUCUGGAGAACCGCGAUGCCCUUAAUUGGGUGUCACGGGGAACCAGGACCUUUACUUUGAAAAAAUUAGAGUGUUUAAAGCAGGCAUUUUGCUUGAAUACAUUAGCAUGGAAUAAUAAAAUAGGACGGCAUGAUUCUAUUUUGUUGGUUUCUAGGAUCACCGUAAUGAUUAAUAGGGAUAGUUGGGGGCAUUAGUAUUCAAUUGUCAGAGGUGAAAUUCUUGGAUUUAUUGAAGACUAACUACUGCGAAAGCAUUUGCCAAGGAUGUUUUCAUUAAUCAAGAACGAAAGUUAGGGGAUCGAAGACGAUCAGAUACCGUCGUAGUCUUAACCAUAAACUAUGCCGACUAGGAAUCAGACGAGUACUUGG